Molecule: transfer RNA, 64 nt
Filed under: Plegadiphilus threskiornis
Lineage: Eukaryota; Metazoa; Arthropoda; Insecta; Psocodea; Menoponidae
Description: tRNA-Asp
Rfam family: tRNA
About the family: Transfer RNA (tRNA) molecules are approximately 80 nucleotides in length.
Source: RNAcentral
AAAGACUUAGUUUAUAAGUAAAACGUUAAUUUGUCAAGUUAAAGAAAUAGUAAUAUAGUCUUUA